UAAAUUAUAAAUUAUUUAAUUUCAAAGGAUUGACGGAAAAUCAAUUCAACUUUCUUAAACUGGAUGUCUCACAGUGGUAUGAUGAACAGAGUUGUCUUCCUAUGUUGAAAGUGUUGUUCAGAGACCGUGUGACAACUGGCAGACUAUCAGAAAUUAGUAGCACAAUGGAGUUGCUGAAUGAAUUGGUUGCACUUGAUCUUUUGAAUGCAAACAAAAUUGCUAUUCUGCAUGAUACCAUCAGCAUAACUGAACAUUUUGGUGUUCAAAGCAAGAUUAAAAAAAGACUACCAUCAUUUCCGGAGGUUAAGGAAGGAACCACUCCGAAACAGUUCACAAAUCACAGACAAAAUGUAAUGAAAUUUGGGAUGAAACUGACUUCAGCUGAUGUAAAAAAAAUUGGUGGAUUUUAUAAUAAGAAGUAUACUGAUUGUUGGAGUAUGAUCAUUGAUCUUGAAGAAAGGAAUCAAAUCUUUGAUGGAAAUAUGGAGGAUUUCAGUGAAUUAUUGAAAAGUCUUGAACUCCAUCAUGCAUUGAACGCACUAUUAAAGUAGGUAACAGAGAAGCAUCAACAUUGAAAAGGCCAAAUUUAGACAAAGAUGUUUCUGCUGUUGAAAAAACAAAACGAAGGGAAACAGAUACCAGUACCAAUGGUGGAAAAUCUAAAGUAAUAUCAAAUUUCAUUUUUGAUAAUUUAUUAAAAAUAAUGAUUGUAUAGAUGUUAAUGGUCGGUCGUAGUAAUCUUAUUGAUUUUGUUAAAAAUAUUUGUUUGUUUUAAUACUCGGUUAUUCCUAGUAAUUUUAAUUUAAUGUUUUCAAAGUAGCACAAUUA
Anneissia japonica is the source of this 828-nucleotide long non-coding RNA. RefSeq lists it as uncharacterized. NCBI's taxonomy places the organism in Eukaryota, Metazoa, Echinodermata, Crinoidea, Comatulida, Comatulidae. The transcript has 3 exons. The record is from RefSeq and is a predicted model, not a curated record.